RNAcentral lists this ribosomal RNA (300 nucleotides) under uncultured bacterium. RNAcentral's name for it is "bacterial SSU rRNA". It matches the Rfam family "Bacterial small subunit ribosomal RNA", at positions 1079 to 1382 of the family's 1533-position model. The record is from RNAcentral.
GUUAAGUCCGCAACGAGCGCAACCCUCGUCCUUAGUUGCCAUCAUUCAGUUGGGCACUUUAGGAAACUGCCGGUGAUAAGCCGGAGGAAGGUGGGGACGACGUCAAGUCAUCAUGGCCCUUACGUGUAGGGCUACACACGUGCUACAAUGGCAUUUACAGAGGGAAGCGAGACAGUGAUGUGGAGCGGACCCCUUAAAGAAUGUCGUAGUCCGGAUUGGAGUCUGCAACUCGACUCCAUGAAGUCGGAAUCGCUAGUAAUCGCAGGUCAGAAUACUGCGGUGAAUACGUUCCCGGGCCUU